UUUGAUUAUGGCUCAGGACGAACGCUGGCGGCGCGCCUAACACAUGCAAGUCGAACGGAGCUGAGAGGAGCUUGCUUUUCUUAGCUUAGUGGCGAACGGGUGAGUAACGCGUGAGUAACCUGCCCUGGAGUGGGGGACAACAGUUGGAAACGACUGCUAAUACCGCAUAAGCCCACGGUCCGGCAUCGGAUUGAGGGAAAAGGAUUUAUUCGCUUCAGGAUGGACUCGCGUCCAAUUAGCUAGUUGGUGAGGUAACGGCCCACCAAGGCGACGAUUGGUAGCCGGACUGAGAGGUUGAACGGCCACAUUGGGACUGAGACACGGCCCAGACUCCUACGGGAGGCAGCAGUGGGGGAUAUUGCACAAUGGGGGAAACCCUGAUGCAGCGACGCCGCGUGGAGGAAGAAGGUUUUCGGAUUGUAAACUCCUGUCGUUAGGGACGAUAAUGACGGUACCUAACAAGAAAGCACCGGCUAACUACGUGCCAGCAGCCGCGGUAAAACGUAGGGUGCAAGCGUUGUCCGGAAUUACUGGGUGUAAAGGGAGCGCAGGCGGACCGGCAAGUUGGAAGUGAAAACUAUGGGCUCAGCCCAUAAAUUGCUUUCAAAACUGCUGGCCUUGAGUAGUGCAGAGGUAGGUGGAAUUCCCGGUGUAGCGGUGGAAUGCGUAGAUAUCGGGAGGAGCACCAGUGGCGAAGGCGACCUACUGGGCACCAACUGACGCUGAGGCUCGAAAGCAUGGGUAGCAAACAGGAUUAGAUACCCUGGUAGUCCAUGCCGUAAACGAUGAUUACUAGGUGUUGGAGGAUUGACCCCUUCAGUGCCGCAGUUAACACAAUAAGUAAUCCACCUGGGGAGUACGACCGCAAGGUUGCAACUCAAAUGAAUUGACGGA
This 894-nucleotide ribosomal RNA is filed under the name uncultured Bacillota bacterium. RNAcentral's name for it is "bacterial SSU rRNA". It matches the Rfam family "Bacterial small subunit ribosomal RNA", at positions 12 to 917 of the family's 1533-position model. The record is from RNAcentral. Lineage: Bacteria; Bacillati; Bacillota.